GAUGAACGCUAGCUACAGGCUUAACACAUGCAAGUCGCGGGGCAGCAUGGGGGUUGCUUGCACUCCCUGAUGGCGACCGGCGCACGGGUGAGUAACGCGUAUCCAACCUGCCCUUCACCACGGGAUAACCCGGCGAAAGUCGGACUAAUACCGUAUGUUGUCCAUUGACGGCAUCCGAUUUGGACGAAAGGCUUAGCGGUGAGGGAUGGGGAUGCGUCCGAUUAGCUUGACGGCGGGGUAACGGCCCACCGUGGCUACGAUCGGUAGGGGUUCUGAGAGGAAGGUCCCCCACACUGGAACUGAGACACGGUCCAGACUCCUACGGGAGGCAGCAGUGAGGAAUAUUGGUCAAUGGGCGUAAGCCUGAACCAGCCAAGUAGCGUGCAGGAUGACGGCCCUAUGGGUUGUAAACUGCUUUUAUGCGGGGAUAAAGGGACCCACGUGUGGGUUUUUGCAGGUACCGCAUGAAUAAGGACCGGCUAAUUCCGUG
Molecule: ribosomal RNA, 490 nt
Filed under: uncultured bacterium
Lineage: Bacteria
Description: partial 16S ribosomal RNA
Rfam family: Bacterial small subunit ribosomal RNA
Source: RNAcentral